This 489-nucleotide unclassified non-coding RNA is filed under the name Allium chrysocephalum. RNAcentral's name for it is "partial external transcribed spacer". Lineage: Eukaryota; Viridiplantae; Streptophyta; Magnoliopsida; Asparagales; Amaryllidaceae. The record is from RNAcentral.
GAGUGGUUGUAGGUGUGUUUUUUCGUUGGGCCCCCCGCUUUUUUGCGGCCGACCAACGAGCAACCACCAUUUCUGCGCUAACAGCCCGUGGCUUGCUAUGUGCUUUGUGUGGGCCUUCGAAGGAUACUAAAACGGAACUGUGUAUUUAUUACUCUUUUGCUGUCCCUUGCCGUGUCUUGUGGUGAUGGGGGGGACGACCAAUGGAAGUACCUUCUUCGACGUUUCGUUGACGAUGUUAUUCUUCGUUGUCGAAUUUUGGUCGUUGACUGGUUUCGUAGUUUUUUGGAUGUGGUGCAUUGAUAAGAAUUCAGGGACGGGUGCCCUGUUCGAAGACAGAUCGUGUCUCGGUUUGACCGCACUAUGGAAAAAGACAUCGCGUGUUUAUGUCGUCAUCCCUUUCUAUCAAGGGUGUGUUCGGCAUAUCAUCGGUGCCUUUAAGGUCGUGCUACCUGGUUGAUCCUGCCAGUAGUCAUAUGCUUGUCUCAAAGA